CGGGGCGGGGCGGGCGCGUCCGCACCGGCGGCGAUGGCGGCGGACGGCGACUGGCAGGAUUUCUAUGAGUUCCAGGACCCGGCCCGCAGCCCCCAGGACCAGGAGAACCACAGCGCGGGCCCCGAGGCCGCGCCCGGGCCGGGCGGGGCAGGCGGCGGCUUUCCGGCGCUGGCCCGCAGCCUGGAGGAGAAGCUGAGCCUGUGUUUCCGCCCCUCGGGUCCGGGCGCCGAGCCCCCGAGGGCGGCCGUGCGGCCCAUCACCGAGCGCAGCCUCCUGCAGGGGGACGAGAUUUGGAAUGCCCUGACAGAUAAUUACGGAAACGUAAUGCCUGUGGACUGGAAGUCAUCCCAUACCAGGUCCCUGCACUUGCUCACUCUGAACCUCUCAGAAAAAGAGAUAAGUGACAGCUUGCUCUUCGACACAUCAGACGAGGAGGAGUUGAGAGAACAGCUGGAUAUGCACUCGAUCAUCGUCUCCUGUGUUAACGACGAGCCCCUCUUCACUGCAGAUCAGGUUAUUGAAGAAAUUGAAGAAAUGAUGCAGGAGUCACCUGACCCGGAAGACGAUGAAGCACUCACACAGUCAGAUCGGCUUUCGAUGCUCUCCCAGGAAAUUCAAACUCUGAAGAGGUCUAGCACAAGCAGCUAUGAAGAGAGAGUAAAAAGACUCCCAGUAUCUGAGUUAAAUGAACUCCUGGAAGAAAUUGAGACUGCCAUUAAGGAAUACUCCGAAGAGCUGGUGCAGCAGUUGGCCCUGCGAGAUGAACUAGAGUUUGAAAAGGAAGUGAAAAACAGCUUUAUUUCUGUUCUCAUUGAAGUGCAAAACAAACAGAAGGAGCACAAAGAAACAGCCAAGAAAAAAAAGAAACUCAAGAAUGGCAGCUCUCAGAACGGGAAGAAUGAGAGAAGUCAUAUGCCCGGCACAGCGUGCUAUAGACACCGUGCCGGAUGAAAUGGACGAAGCCCAUGGCCUCCUGGAGCUUACUUCUAAUGAGGGAGACAGGCAACAAGCAAGAAAAAGAAUGAGCAGACAGUGUGAUUUUAGUACUUAACAACAGUUAUUCCCUAUGAGAAAAAAAAUGGACCACCAUCUGUUGAAGAUCUUCAAAUAUUAACAAAAAAGACAAAACCCUCAGAUUCCCGAUAGGAGAGGCUGAUUCACCAGGUUCCUCAGGAGAGGAGGCAGCAGCCUGCCUGCUUCAUGGAGUCUGGCCUUCAUUUUGGUCUCUUCUUUAGAAGUUCCAAGAAGGCUGGCAGAUAUGCUCCUUGAGGACAGCUCACUGUUCAUUUGUCUGUUUCUCCAGCUGUGGCAUCUGCAGCACUAGGUUCCUGUGCUCUGAGCUCACAGAUGUGCAUGUGACGGGAACCUGCUUUCAGCCUUUAUGUUCUUCGUGCCAUGAAAGAGGACAGUGAAAAGGUUCCGAGCUUGUUAACUGAUUAUAUACUGAAAGUCCUGUGUCCUACAUAGGGCGGCCUCUCGCAGGAGCCGUCUCCUGUGGCCUGGACGCCGGAUUUCACACAGCAGUCCUCCGAGAGCGGCCCCCUCCCUCCUGCUAGCGGAAGCUCGGCAACGUGAACUUGGGUUUGUGACGCAGUAUUAAUAGACCACGCCUUCACUGAUCCUUCGUAUUAGGAACCAAGACAAACAUGGCACUAUUUUGAAUUCUAGGGAUUUUUUUUGUUAAAUAUGAACAAUUAUGAAUUCUUCAACUUUGAGAGUCAGGGGAUGUAAUAUGAACUAUGCAUGUGCAGUUAUAUUUUUUAUGUACUGACCAUAUGCCCAUUUGAGGUUUCAUGGCUUUCUAGAUAUAAACUACAUUGAAGGACAGGUUAAAGCAGCGGUUGCCAACCGGUGGUCCGCGAGCCACUGGUGGUCCGCGAGGUCUGAAAGGUUGGCGGCCGCUGGGUUAAAGCAUUGAGAGAUUCAUAGCACAGCGACGGCAAAACCAACACUGAUUGUUGUAAGAGAACCGUCAGUGUAAGUAUCAGUAUUGCCCAGAGACGGAAGCUUAAACUUGGGCUGUUGUUAGGAUGAAACGGGAAUGUGUCAUCUUGGUUUAAUCCUCAGUGAGAACGGGAACUGUUGGCGAUGGUGUUAGAGGCUGCUGCGGCGUUCACCAUGGAUCAAAUUUUAACCAUUAGGUUGCCAUUUACUUUCAGAAUCUUGUGCUGUUUAACGUUAGAUGUUUGAGUUUUGUUUUAUGUGUCUGUGGAGAAGUGUCCUUUAAAGGGAGUGUGUCUAUCGUUAAGGUGCUUAAGAAGCCGAAAGCUGCAGCUUUGCCCAUCCCCCACGGCUGUUAUAGCUUCACGCCUGUGCGCCUCCCCAAUACUAACUCUGGAAACAGCUGCUCAUGGAUACAUCACCAGCCAUGAAGCACUUCCGCCCGUUCCAAUCAAGUCAGUGCCCUUUAAUAAACGUUGGGAAAAGAUA
Molecule: RNA transcript, 2430 nt
Organism: Myotis myotis
Lineage: Eukaryota; Metazoa; Chordata; Mammalia; Chiroptera; Vespertilionidae
Gene: FEZ2
Gene name: fasciculation and elongation protein zeta 2
Exons: 10
Source: RefSeq, a predicted model, not a curated record